RNAcentral lists this ribosomal RNA (398 nucleotides) under uncultured bacterium. RNAcentral describes it as "partial 16S ribosomal RNA". It matches the Rfam family "Bacterial small subunit ribosomal RNA", at positions 523 to 918 of the family's 1533-position model. The record is from RNAcentral.
AUACGUAGGGGGCGAGCGUUGUCCGGAAUUACUGGGCGUAAAGAGCUCGUAGGUGGUUUGUCGCGUCGUCUGUGAAAUUCCGGGGCUUAACUCCGGGCGUGCAGGCGAUACGGGCAUAACUUGAGUACUGUAGGGGAGACUGGAAUUCCUGGUGUAGCGGUGAAAUGCGCAGAUAUCAGGAGGAACACCGGUGGCGAAGGCGGGUCUCUGGGCAGUAACUGACGCGGAGGAGCGAAAGCAUGGGUAGCGAACAGGAUUAGAUACCCUGGUAGUCCAUGCCGUAAACGGUGGGCGCUAGGUGUAGGGGUCUUCCACGACUUCUGUGCCGUAGCUAACGCAUUAAGCGCCCCGCCUGGGGAGUACGGCCGCAAGGCUAAAACUCAAAGGAAUUGACGGGG